CCUACGGGUGGCAGCAGUGGGGAAUAUUGGGCAAUGGGCGCAAGCCUGACCCAGCAACGCCGCGUGAAGGAAGAAGGCUUUCGGGUUGUAAACUUUUUUUGUCAGGGACGAAGCUAGCGACGGUACCUGACGAAUCAGCCACUGCUAACUACGUGGCAGCAGCCGCGGUAAUACGGAGGGGGCAAGCGUUAUCCGGAUUUAGUGGGUGUAAGGGGCGUGUAGGCGGGGAAGCAAGUCAGAUGUGAAAACCACGGGCUCAACCUGUGGCCUGCAUUUGAAACUGGUUUUCUUGAGUGCUGGAGAGGUAAUAGGAAUUCCGUGUGUAGCGGUGAAAUGCGUAGAUAUACGGAGGAACACCGGUGGCGAAGGCGGAUUGCUGGACAGUAACUGACGCUGAGGCGCGAAAGCGUGGGGAGCAAACAGGAUUAGAUACCCGAGUAGUC
RNAcentral lists this ribosomal RNA (443 nucleotides) under uncultured bacterium. Its description in RNAcentral is "partial 16S ribosomal RNA". It matches the Rfam family "Bacterial small subunit ribosomal RNA", at positions 338 to 795 of the family's 1533-position model. The record is from RNAcentral.